AUCGGGGGCACGAUUGCCGCGUGAGGAUGACGGCCCUAUGGGUUGUAAACUUCUUUUGUACGGGCAUAUAUAAACCUCUGGUCGUGUACCAGAGCUGAUGGUACCGUAAGAAUAAGCAUCGGCUAACUCCGUGCCAGCAGCCGCGGUAAUACGGAGGAUGCAAGCGUUAUCCGGAUUCAUUGGGUUUAAAGGGUGCGCAGGCGGAGUGAUAAGUCAGUGGUGAAAGCCUACAGCUUAACUGUAGAACUGCCAUUGAUACUGUCAUUCUUGAGUAUUGUUGAGGUAGGCGGAAUGUGUCAUGUAGCGGUGAAAUGCUUAGAUAUGACACAGAACACCGAUCGCGAAGGCAGCUUACCAAGCAAUAACUGACGCUCAUGCACGAAAGCGUGGGGAUCAAACAGGAUUAGAUACCCUGGUAGUCCACGCCGUAAACGAUGAUCACUCGAUGUUGGCGAUACACAGUCAGCGUCUUAGGGAAACUAUUAAGUGAUCCACCUGGGGAGUACGGUCGCAAGAUUGAAACUCAAAGGAAUUGACGGGGGCCCGCACAAGCGGAGGAGCAUGUGGUUUAAUUCGAUGAUACGCGAGGAACCUUACCUGGGCUCGAACGUGGAAUGACAGUCGCGGAAACGUGAUCUUCUUCGGACAUUCUACGAGGUGCUGCAUGGUUGUCGUCAGCUCGUGCCGUGAGGUGUCGGGUUAAGUCCCAUAACGAGCGCAACCCCUAUCUUUAGUUGCCAUCAGGUAAUGCUGGGGACUCUAAAGAAACUGCCUACGCAAGUAGUGAGGAAGGCGGGGGAUGACGUCAAAUCAGCACGGCCCUUACGUCCAGGGCUACACACGUGCUACAAUGGCCGGUACAGAGGGCAGCUACCUGGUGACAGGAUGCAAAUCUCCAAAGCCGGUCUCAGUUCGGAUCGAAUCUGAAACUCGACUUCGUGAAGUUGGAUUCGCUAGUAAUCGCGCAUCAGCCAUGGCGCGGUGAAUACGUUCCCGGGCCUUGUACACACCGCCAUACGGCAUAUGA
RNAcentral lists this ribosomal RNA (1027 nucleotides) under uncultured bacterium. RNAcentral describes it as "bacterial SSU rRNA". It matches the Rfam family "Bacterial small subunit ribosomal RNA", at positions 381 to 1409 of the family's 1533-position model. The record is from RNAcentral.